This 73-nucleotide transfer RNA is filed under the name Parcubacteria group bacterium SW_4_49_11. RNAcentral describes it as "tRNA-Ala". It matches the Rfam family "tRNA". From Rfam's summary of the family: Transfer RNA (tRNA) molecules are approximately 80 nucleotides in length. Their secondary structure includes four short double-helical elements and three loops (D, anti-codon, and T loops). The record is from RNAcentral.
GGGCCAUUGGCGCAGCUGGUAGCGCGUCCCCAUGGCAUGGGGAAGGUCGUCGGUUCGAGUCCGACAUGGUCCA